CCCCUAUGUAAGCCUGACCUAUCCCUGUCUUCCUACUUCAAACCCCAUGUGUCACUAUACGGUACACAGGGACUCUGUCACUUAGUGCAAGAAAAACCUACUUAGAAGAAACGAAGAGUUGUCUGAGUGCUGCAUUAAUCGUAAAGCCACCGUUCUAAGUCUCUAGGUCUAUGUUAGCCAACCUGCCUUCAGCUCUAGAAAACAUGUAGGCCCACAUCUGCGAUCAAUCUCAUCCACCAUGAUGAUCCAGUUAGGUCUUCCAAGAGAUUAACACAGCAAACAUUUCCGAGCACUGACCAAGCUAGACGCUUUGCUGAAACUUUGCAUGGAUUGUUGUGCAGUGGCCCUCACAGCAGUCUGCGAGGUUGGGACUAAGUGUAUUCUCAAAGGAGAUAGGUAACUCGGGCCUGGUGAGGUUGACUUGUCCAAAAGCCAGAGGGCCAGCAAAAGACACCCUAGCAAGGCAGGCGUAUUGCCUCACAUUCCUCACGGCUAUUGAAAAGGGACCCCUUCCCUAGUUACUGCAGACCACUCCAGCAAGGGGACAGCUCUGACAGGGUCUCCCAGAACCUUGCAUGGCUCCCUCUCUGCAGAACUUACAGACUCAGAGAAGUGAGGAAGCUUCUUUAUUCUCAGAGCAGGUUGAACUGGGUGGCUUUAUCUCAAAAUUCCUGGAAGAAUGCUGACCAACGGUUCAUUCUAUUCAGAGCGCUAUUGUUUUCCCAACAUCCAGUCUUCCCAAGACAGUGAGGGCCAUAGGGAUGACCUCAAGCAAGAUGCCUCUGCAGACCUCACACAUCAAUAAAACUGAAUGGACAUUAUCUUCCCCAUUUGAAAAGCUCCCUGCCAUUUGUAAGCACAAUGCUUCCUCACAAAGUACAUUGUGAGAUGGGGGCAGUACAAUGGCAGAAUGACUGUCAGUGUCCCCAAUUUAUAGGUAAGGAAACAAAGGCUCUAAAUGACAGAAAGCAUCCAUCAACUUGCCUCCCAAGAUGCUUUCUGGCUCGGGAAAUUGCAAAAGAAAACGUAAGUGAGAAUAAGAACCGCGGGUACGCAGACAACAUUUUGCCAGCAGUGUUUCAGAAUACCAAUGCUGCUUUAGUCAGUGAAGUGAAUUCACGGGAAGAACUAUUUUGGUAUAUAAUUGUGAUCAGUUCAAAUAAGUUUCUCUGAAGUCUGGCUACAGGCAGGCCGCAUACCCUACGGCUGUGUCCUCUGUUUGUGGCAUGUACCGGACCCCAGCCCAGCCCACAGGCUAUACUGCUAUCAGUGUUUCAAUAAAAAGACUUCCCACCAGCUUCCA
RNAcentral lists this long non-coding RNA (1303 nucleotides) under Felis catus (domestic cat). Its description in RNAcentral is "lncRNA (ENSFCAG00000047979.1)". The record is from RNAcentral. Lineage: Eukaryota; Metazoa; Chordata; Mammalia; Carnivora; Felidae.